Molecule: long non-coding RNA, 370 nt
Filed under: Bos grunniens (domestic yak)
Lineage: Eukaryota; Metazoa; Chordata; Mammalia; Artiodactyla; Bovidae
Description: lncRNA (ENSBGRG00000023327.1)
Source: RNAcentral
CUCCUGCAUUUCAUCAAGGCCUUCAAAGGCAGAGGUGUCUCGGAGCUUUUGCCCUGACACUGUGAACCUCCCACCCACCGCAUUGGGAGUGUGGCGUCUUAGCCACUGGGCUACCAGGGAAGUCUUGAAGUGUGAACUUUAAAAUGGUUAUGAUGUUAAAACAAUACACCACAUAGUCACGACUGGAGUAAGAAGCAGAGAAAUGGCUAACAUGGUCUCUGGUCUGGGCUGAUGGUCUUCUAAACCCUCCUCUACCUGGUGUACAUCUGGAGCAUCGACUGGAACCGUGUGGCAGCGCAGGUACCAGCGCAGGGGCCACUGGAGGAGGGGAGUGUGCAUGUGUGUGCGUGCUGUGAUUCCAGGGCAGGCG